UGUGAGCUCGAUGAGUAGGGCGGGACACGUGGUAUCCUGUCUGAAUAUGGGGGGACCAUCCUCCAAGGCUAAAUACUCCUGACUGACCGAUAGUGAACCAGUACCGUGAGGGAAAGGCGAAAAGAACCCCGGCGAGGGGAGUGAAAAAGAACCUGAAACCGUGUACGUACAAGCAGUGGGAGCCUCUUUUAUGGGGUGACUGCGUACCUUUUGUAUAAUGGGUCAGCGACUUAUAUUCUGUAGCAAGGUUAACCGAAUAGGGGAGCCGAAGGGAAACCGAGUCUUAACUGGGCGUUAAGUUGCAGGGUAUAGACCCGAAACCCGGUGAUCUAGCCAUGGGCAGGUUGAAGGUUGGGUAACACUAACUGGAGGACCGAACCGACUAAUGUUGAAAAAUUAGCGGAUGACUUGUGGCUGGGGGUGAAAGGCCAAUCAAACCGGGAGAUAGCUGGUUCUCCCCGAAAGCUAUUUAGGUAGCGCCUCGUGAAUUCAUCUCCGGGGGUAGAGCACUGUUUCGGCAAGGGGGUCAUCCCGACUUACCAACCCGAUGCAAACUGCGAAUACCGGAGAAUGUUAUCACGGGAGACACACGGCGGGUGCUAACGUCCGUCGUGAAGAGGGAAACAACCCAGACCGCCAGCUAAGGUCCCAAAGUCAUGGUUAAGUGGGAAACGAUGUGGGAAGGCCCAGACAGCCAGGAUGUUGGCUUAGAAGCAGCCAUCAUUUAAAGAAAGCGUAAUAGCUCACUGGUCGAGUCGGCCUGCGCGGAAGAUGUAACGGGGCUAAACCAUGCACCGAAGCUGCGGCAGCGACGCUGAUGCGUUGUUGGGUAGGGGAGCGUUCUGUAAGCCUGUGAAGGUGUGCUGUGAGGCAUGCUGGAGGUAUCAGAAGUGCGAAUGCUGACAUAAGUAACGAUAAAGCGGGUGAAAAGCCCGCUCGCCGGAAGACCAAGGGUUCCUGUCCAACGUUAAUCGGGGCAGGGUGAGUCGACCCCUAAGGCGAGGCCGAAAGGCGUAGUCGAUGGGAAACAGGUUAAUAUUCCUGUACUUGGUGUUACUGCGAAGGGGGGACGGAGAAGGCUAUGUUGGCCGGGCGACGGUUGUCCCGGUUUAAGCGUGUAGGCUGGUUUUCCAGGCAAAUCCGGAAAAUCAAGGCUGAGGCGUGAUGACGAGGCACUACGGUGCUGAAGCAACAAAUGCCCUGCUUCCAGGAAAAGCCUCUAAGCAUCAGGUAACAUCAAAUCGUACCCCAAACCGACACAGGUGGUCAGGUAGAGAAUACCAAGGCGCUUGAGAGAACUCGGGUGAAGGAACUAGGCAAAAUGGUGCCGUAACUUCGGGAGAAGGCACGCUGAUAUGUAGGUGAAGCGACUUGCUCGUGGAGCUGAAAUCAGUCGAAGAUACCAGCUGGCUGCAACUGUUUAUUAAAAACACAGCACUGUGCAAACACGAAAGUGGACGUAUACGGUGUGACGCCUGCCCGGUGCCGGAAGGUUAAUUGAUGGGGUCAGCGCAAGCGAAGCUCUUGAUCGAAGCCCCGGUAAACGGCGGCCGUAACUAUAACGGUCCUAAGGUAGCGAAAUUCCUUGUCGGGUAAGUUCCGACCUGCACGAAUGGCGUAAUGAUGGCCAGGCUGUCUCCACCCGAGACUCAGUGAAAUUGAACUCGCUGUGAAGAUGCAGUGUACCCGCGGCAAGACGGAAAGACCCCGUGAACCUUUACUAUAGCUUGACACUGAACAUUGAGCCUUGAUGUGUAGGAUAGGUGGGAGGCUUGGAAGUGUGGACGCCAGUCUGCAUGGAGCCGACCUUGAAAUACCACCCUUUAAUGUUUGAUGUUCUAACGUUGACCCGUAAUCCGGGUUGCGGACAGUGUCUGGUGGGUAGUUUGACUGGGGCGGUCUCCUCCUAAAGAGUAACGGAGGAGCACGAAGGUUGGCUAAUCCUGGUCGGACAUCAGGAGGUUAGUGCAAUGGCAUAAGCCAGCUUGACUGCGAGCGUGACGGCGCGAGCAGGUGCGAAAGCAGGUCAUAGUGAUCCGGUGGUUCUGAAUGGAAGGGCCAUCGCUCAACGGAUAAAAGGUACUCCGGGGAUAACAGGCUGAUACCGCCCAAGAGUUCAUAUCGACGGCGGUGUUUGGCACCUCGAUGUCGGCUCAUCACAUCCUGGGGCUGAAGUAGGUCCCAAGGGUAUGGCUGUUCGCCAUUUAAAGUGGUACGCGAGCUGGGUUUAGAACGUCGUGAGACAGUUCGGUCCCUAUCUGCCGUGGGCGCUGGAGAACUGAGGGGGGCUGCUCCUAGUACGAGAGGACCGGAGUGGACGCAUCACUGGUGUUCGGGUUGUCAUGCCAAUGGCACUGCCCGGUAGCUAAAUGCGGAAGAGAUAAGUGCUGAAAGCAUCUAAGCACGAAACUUGCCCCGAGAUGAGUUCU
Molecule: ribosomal RNA, 2429 nt
Filed under: Escherichia coli
Lineage: Bacteria; Pseudomonadati; Pseudomonadota; Gammaproteobacteria; Enterobacterales; Enterobacteriaceae
Description: bacterial LSU rRNA
Rfam family: Bacterial large subunit ribosomal RNA
Source: RNAcentral